This 253-nucleotide ribosomal RNA is filed under the name uncultured bacterium. RNAcentral describes it as "partial 16S ribosomal RNA". It matches the Rfam family "Bacterial small subunit ribosomal RNA", at positions 524 to 776 of the family's 1533-position model. The record is from RNAcentral.
UACGUAGGGCGCAAGCGUUGUCCGGAAUUAUUGGGCGUAAAGAGCUCGUAGGCGGCUUGUCACGUCGAUUGUGAAAGCCCGAGGCUUAACCUCGGGUCUGCAGUCGAUACGGGCUAGCUAGAGUGUGGUAGGGGAGAUCGAAUUCCUGGUGUAGCGGUGAAAUGCGCAGAUAUCAGGAGGAACACCGGUGGCGAAGGCGGAUCUCUGGGCCAUUACUGACGCUGAGGAGCGAAAGCGUGGGGGAGCGAACAGG